UUGGAUUGAGACAACGUACAAACCUUAUCGAUAAACAAUUGGAGGGCAAGUCUGGUGCCAGCAGCCGCGGUAAUUCCAGCUCCAAUAGCGUAUAUUAACGUUGUUGCAGUUAAAAAGCUCGUAGUUGAAAUGAAGGGUAGUUGUGUAAUGAAUACAUUCGUGUAUUUUGUUAUUCAACUACCCUCCUUCUAAAUUCGAUAUAUGAGUAUUAAUUUACUUGUAUAUGGUUUUAGACGUUUACUGUGAGAAAAUUAGAGUGUUCAAAGCAGGCAUUUGCUUGAAUAUAUUAGCAUGGAAUAAUCAUGUAUGAUUUUCAUGAUGUAUUUGAUUGGUUUGGUUCAUGAGAAUAAGAUUAAAAGGGACAGUUGGGGGUAUUCAUAUUCAAUAGUCAGAGGUGAAAUUCUCGGAUUUAUGGAAGAUGAACAAGUGCGAAAGCAUUUACCAAGGAUGUUUUCAUUAAUCAAGAACGAAAGUUAGGGGAUCGAAGAGGAU
RNAcentral lists this ribosomal RNA (492 nucleotides) under Blastocystis sp. subtype 3. Its description in RNAcentral is "SSU rRNA". It matches the Rfam family "Eukaryotic small subunit ribosomal RNA", at positions 509 to 1008 of the family's 1831-position model. The record is from RNAcentral. Lineage: Eukaryota; Bigyra; Opalinata; Blastocystidae.